GAUUUGACUGCUGAACGGAUGAUCUGUACGGGUUGCCGUAGCACUCCUCCUGACUGCUGGAAAGAUGGCGGCAGCGCACACUCGGGCGAGCCCCAAUUCUGCAGGCGGAAAAAAAUCUUAACAGAAAGACACCUUUCGCCCAGGUUUUGCAAAAAGAAAACGUGCAAACAACUAUUAAACUUGCAUGGUCAUGGGUGGUCUCAUGCACCACUAGAACCGAGCAUUCCUCGACCUGCUAUGGAGCCUCCGGAUAAUAGCGAUCCUAGCAGGCAGGGCAAUUCCUCAAAAGAUGAUUCGGUGCAUCAGAGCUUCGAGGUGGAAGACUUUUGGUACAAGCCCAGCGAGGAAGAGGAAGCUCUGUACGGCACAUCACCCCCCUACACCCCCCGGCAGAUGAAACGUAUGUCGGGGAAACACCAGAAGAACAGCCAGGCGAGGUCAGCUGGACGCUCCCCCGUCGGACACUCUCCUAACAAGAUAGACAAUCAGCCAGCCCCCUCCAGUCCAUCCCAGCCCCAGAGAGAGAGUGAGCCUAACCCCUAUAGGCCUAGAGAGGUGGCUGAGAGAGACCGAGAGAAGGACCCCCCAGAGGCUAAGCAACAUAACUACAAGUUGGGUAAGAAACAGACCGACCCUUCUGAGGGGAUCCAACUAAACGUAAACAAGCAAGUCAACAAAGCAACCGAGGAGCACCAACACAACUAUAAGCAGGGUCAAAAACAACGCGCCACCCUGCGUUCCAGUGAGAGAGACCACAAGAAGACCUUUGAAGGUUCCUUCAUGCUGGACCCGCUCUCCAAGACCUCCAGCCCCUUCGGUGGAGGCUCAGCCCUCAACAUGGACCCCAGGAAACCCUACCUAUCGCUGGGGUGCGGCAGCGGCAAGCUCCCUGUCACUAUCCCCCACCCCAUGGCCCACCGCACCCACCGCCAGACUUCAAGGACAGACUGCCCUGCAGAUAGACUCAAGUUCUUUGAGACGCUGAGGUUGUUAUUGAAGCUGACUUCCAUGUCGUCCAAGAAGAAGGAGAAGGAGCAGCGCGGUCUGGAGAACUCAGCCUUCAUGGGCCAGAACAACGAGGUGGUGUGGCUGGAGCUCCAGGCGUGGCACGCGAGACGCUCCGUCAACGACCAGGAUCUGUUCCUGUUCACGGCUCGACAAGCAAUCCCAGACAUCAUCAACAAGGUGCUCCACUUUAAGGUCAACUACCACAGCCUGAGCCCCAGCACCAUGGGCCUGGGACAACUGACCCUGGGGGUGUGUGUAGGACGACCAGGUAUGGUUGGAUCAGGGGCAUCUCCCGGCCAGGGAGCCCAGAGGACACUAGUGUUAACAGAGCCAGGCUGUGGAGGCCUAGGCCAGGGUCCCAAACAGAGGACUCCAACCCAGGCCUCAGAGACUGUUUCUGGGGAGGAGAGGGACUCUAACCAGCCUGCUGCUGUUGGCGCUUCAGAGAUGAACCAAAAUCACUUUGCUUCAGUCGACCCAUGGGGCUUCAGCGCCUGCCCCUCGGCAGUAGACGCAGCGGCGCCCCUGGGCUCCGGGGCGGGGUGCAGGGAGCACCUCCAGCGCCAGCGGCUGGCCUUCGAGCAGGUUAAACGGGUGAUGGAGCUGCUGGAGUCGGUGGAGGCUUUGUACCCUUCCCUGCAGACCCUCCAGAAGGACUAUGAAAAGUACGCAGCCAGGGACUUCCAGGGCAGGGUGCAGGCACUCUGUCUCUGGCUCAACAUCACACAGGAUCUGAACCAGAAACUUCGUGUUAUGGCGACUGUCCUCGGCCUCAGGGACCUUUCCCGUAUCGGCUGGCCCGUCUUCGAGAUCCCCUCGCCACGCUGUUCCCGUGGCAAUGACGAGGAAGACGAGGAUGAAGACGAGGAGAAUGACUCCACGGCAACCUUCACUGCCGGUGACAGCGACGGAGAGGACAGUGACCUAGCGGGUGAGGAGGGGGAAACUGGUGAGCCCAGAGGGGGUGAAACGACAGCUGAGCCGGGAGAAGGUGAACUCUCCCCUUGUUUGACUCCUAAAUUCGCUCGGUUACUACUAUCUGAGGAUGAGACAGGGACUAUGGAGGUGGUAUCGGGGGGCACAGGGAUAGGUGGGAUGAACUGCCCUACAGCCAUCUUCAGACCCUUCGUAGAUAAGGCCUUGAAACAGAUGGGGCUGAGGAAACUGAUCCUGAGACUACACAAGCUGAUGGACCCCUCCCUCCAGAGGUCCCGGGCAGCCCUGCUCAGCCACACGCCUGCACAGGAGUUCACGGACUUCCCAGACCCCAUGCUGUACAGUGACUACCUACCGGAGUUGUCCCGCCACCUGUCCUCCUGUGGCGCUCCCGGGGGCCCGGAGCUGGGGGCAGACCAGGUUUCCUGGGAGGAGCUGUUGGACAUGGAUCUACCCUCGUUCCGACCUGCCUUCUUGGUCCUGUGUCGCGUCCUGCUGAACGUGAUACACGAGUGCCUUAAGCUGAGACUGGAACAGAGACCUGCAGGGGAGCCUUCACUGCUCAGCAUCAAACAGUUGGUGCGUGAAUGUAAGGAGGUGUUGAAAGGUGGUCUCCUGAUGAAACAGUAUUACCAGUACAUGCUGAGGGGGGUGGUCACAGACCCCCAGGGACUCCAGACCAAUGUCAACAUAGACGAAUUCGAGGAGGACCUCCACAAAAUGCUGGUGGUGUACUUUGACUACAUGCACAGCUGGAUCCAGAUGCUGCAGCAGCUUCCCCAGGCCUCACACAGCCUGAAGAACCUUCUAGAGGAGGAGUGGAACUUCACCAAAGUCAUCACUCCCUACAUUAGAGGAGGGGAGGCUCAGUCUGGGAAACUCUUCUGUGACAUUGCUGGGAUGCUGCUCAAGUCCACAGGGGACUUCCUGGACACAGGCCUGCAGAAGAGUGGUGAUGAAUUCUGGGAAAGUGCCGACGACAGUACAGUCUCAGAUGAGAUCCGCCGGUCGGUAAUCGAGACGAGCCGGUCACUUAAGGAGCUGUUCCACGAGGCUAGAGAGAGGGCAUCCAAAGCUCUGGGAUUUGCCAAAAUGCUCCGUAAGGACCUGGAGAUUGCUGCUGAUUUCAGCAUUACCAGUGGGGUGCCAUGCCUCCUGGAGGCCCUCAAGGAGAGAAAUUAUGUCAAGGUCCAGAUCCCAGGGCUGGAGGAGCUGGAGGUGUUUGUCCCAUGUGCCCUGAUGCACCAGCGUGACCUCAUCCUGCAGCUUCUAAACGCAGCAGCCGGUAAGGAUUGCAGUAAGGAGCCCGACGAGAUGAUGGCAGAGGACGAGGCCUACCUGCUGAUGAGCAAGCAUGGAGCAGGGGACCCGCCUGGGGGGGCAGGCCAGGCCGGGGUUCAGUGGCACUGGGAUGGGAAGCUGGUCAAACUGGUGCCUCAGAUGGAGACUGUGGACACGCUACGGGCCAUGAAGGUGGAGAACCUGCUCCUGAUAGUGAUGCAGUCAGCCCACCUUGUGGCCCAGCGUAAGGCCUUCCAGCAAAGUAUGGAUGAGCUACUCACCCUAAGCAGGGAGCAAACCUCCAGCCAGCCCCUCAUCGCCCGCUCCCUGGAGCAACUCAAGAAUGAAGCCUUACAGCUCUGUAGAAAGAUCAACACGGCCAUCGACCGGGUGGAGUACAUGUUCACGUCAGAGUUUGAGGCCGAAGUGGAGGAGUCUGAGUCAGCCACGCUGCAGCAGUACUACAGAGAGGCCAUGAUCCAGGGAUACAACUUCGCCUUCGAGUACCACAAGGAGGUGGUGCGUCUGAUGUCGGGUGAGUUCCGUCAGCGGAUUGGGGAAUGCUAUAUCGCCUUCGCCAGGAAGUGGAUGAACUAUGUCCUCACCAAGUGUGAAAGUGGCCGGGGUACCAGACCCCGCUGGGCCACUCAAGGCUUUGAUUUCCUCCAAGCCAUCGAACCUGCCUUCAUCUCUGCUUUACCAGAGGACGACUUCCUGAAUUUGCAAGCUCUGAUGAAUGAGUGCAUUGGUCAUGUGAUCGGGAAGCCUCACAGCCCAGUCAGUGGCUUGUACCUAGCCCCCAGGAACAGUCCUCGGCCAGUGAAGGUCCCUCGUUGCCAUAGCGACCCCCCCAACCCCCACCUGUUCAUCCCCAAUGCAGAGGGCUUCAGCUCUAGGAGUCUCCCCUGCGACCUACGGACCCAGCUGUGUCUACCUACCGGCCCCCGCCCAGUCCCCGCCCCUCAGACCCCAGGCCCCGCCCCCGGGGAACACAGCCCAUCCAAAGCACCUGGGUCCACCCCCAAUGACGUCAGAGGGGCCAACCUCCACGAGAACGACAGGCUGUCGUCUGUAGCAGCCGAGCUGCAGUUCAAGUCUCUGAGCCGACACUCCAGUCCCACUGAUGACAGGGAAGAACCCUCCUAUCCUAAGGGAGGAGACCCCGGCAGCACGGCCAGGAGAAGCUGGGAGCUCCGCACCUUCAUCAGCCAAUCAAAAGACACGGCAGCCAGACAGAGCCCCAUGGAAGCUGUACGUCGCUCCAUACGCUCCUUCGAGGACAAACGCUACGCAGUCAUGAAGCAGAGGAACAUCAUUGGCCAGGUGUGCCACACCCCCAAGUCCUACGACAACGUCAUGCACGUCGGCCUCCGCAAGGUCACCUUCAAGUGGCAGAGGGGCAACAAGAUAGGUGAGGGCCAGUAUGGCAAGGUGUACACCUGCAUCAAUGUGGACACUGGAGAACUCAUGGCUAUGAAGGAGAUCCGGUUCCAGCCGAAUGACCAUAAGACGAUAAAGGAGACAGCAGAUGAGUUGAAGAUCUUUGAGGGCAUCAAACACCCCAACCUGGUCCGCUACUUUGGUGUUGAGCUGCAUCGGUUUGGAUGAAAAAACAAGGAAUUGCUGUGGACUCAACAUAUAGAAAUGAGAAGCAGGCCAAAGAGUUUAUGCACCAUAUUGCAGAGGUGGAGAGAAACAGCAUCAGAGAGAAUAUGAAAAACACUACAUUUCUCUCCGUCAUUUCAGAUGGCUCCACAGACAGUUCUGUGAAAAAGGAGUUAGUUUGUCAGAUUCUGUCAUAAGGGCAAGAUCGAGUCAAAGUUUGUUGGCAUCAAGUCGGUGAAGAAGGCAGUAAGCAACGCCGUCAGUGCCAUCAUGGAGGGAGUGUGUGAUGAGUGGGGGGAGCAAGUUAUUCACUCUGGGAACAGAUGGAGCUGCUGUGAUGACCGGAGCCAAGAAUGGUGUGGUCAGCCGGCUGAAGGAGGAACAGGGCCUACAUCAUCGGCAUCCACUGUAUGGCACACCGCCUUCAACUGACCUUUUCUGAUGCCAUCCGGUCCAACGGGAUGUUUCAGAAAGUAGAAGACCUCCUCAGUGGGCUCUACACCAAAACCUGGUAAACAGCUUCCAGGCUCUUGGGCACACACCACUGGUGCCCACCAGAAUUGGCGGGACCCGAUGGGUAGGACACCUAUUGCGUGCACUGGACCAUGUACUACGAGGUUACCAGGGGCGUGUCCAGCACAUGAAACAGAUUCAAUCUGCUGAUGCCCAAAAUGUCUGAGGUGUCCAGCAGGCCAAGGCCAGGAAAUACUACAGUACUGCAAGGGAGGCUGUUAUCCGCUUCUGUGGCUUCCUGCAUGACACACUAACACAUCUGAGCAGCCUGUCUGCAGAGGUCCACCAUCACCAUAGCAGAAGCCCACAGCUCCUUGUGCUCAACACAGGCAGUACUUAAGAAGUACAAAACCAGAUUUUGGUGACACUGAACUGGAAACCCUGGUGGACCACUUCAAGCCUGUCCUGGAGACCUCUGGCAUCCAUGUUGAAAGGAUCCCUGACCAGUGGACUGUCCUGAAGGUGCUGAUGUACCAAGAGCCCCAGUCCCUGCAGAACAUGUCCUGGUUCCAUGUCAACAGCAGCCAUCAGCAGUCCUGCCCUGAUGUGCUGGCAUUGGUUGACCUGGUCCUGUCCUUCCCUGCCUCCACAGCUGAAUGUGAAAGAGUUUUUAAUACCAUGAAACAGAUGAAAACCGAUUGGCGGUCUAACCUAAAGUCUGAUACACUGUCAGAUCUCUUUAUGGUCCAGCUGUCCUCUCCAGAGAUCAGGGAGUAUGAUCCGAUAAAAGCUGUGAUGCUGUGGCACCAGGACUCUGUCAGGAGUAGGAGGACUUCAUAGACCGUGCAAAGAGGGUGAUUGCAGUAGAGAGUGAGGAGUCUGAGGAGGUUUAAGUUUAUUAAAAUGAUUAAGCAUCUGAUAGGGUUACAAAACAUUUAAAUGUACUGUUAUGUUUGAUCCUUAAGUACUUUUAAUAGCAAAUACUGAAGUAGAAUUUUGAAUUCAAGACUUAAGUUGUAUUCAGGCUGGGAAAUUAAAUCUAGCCACAGUCAAAAUUAACCAGCGUCUGAUAAGUCUCUAUUUGACCUGUAUUUUAUCAGGGUAUUUCUACUCAAAGUAAAGGAUUUGUAGACCUGUUUCCCCUUUGUAUCAGUUCUACUGCACUUCUCAUUGUAUCUUAUCAUUGUUGCCCUGUUUUGACUUAAACAUACUCUUAUUCAUUGUAUCUGAUAUGUUUGGUUUAUUUCAUUGGGUGCCCACUGUUUGGUGUUUUUUCACUCUGUACUGCACUUUUGGUCAACUACAGUUGUUUUUAAACGUGCUCUACAAAUAAACUGGUCAAUAUAUUAAAAUAAUUUUGUUUCAAA
Salvelinus fontinalis (brook trout) is the source of this 6650-nucleotide RNA transcript. It is a transcript of the gene named mitogen-activated protein kinase kinase kinase 4-like, with no coding region annotated. The transcript has 26 exons. Lineage: Eukaryota; Metazoa; Chordata; Actinopteri; Salmoniformes; Salmonidae. The record is from RefSeq and is a predicted model, not a curated record.